This 245-nucleotide ribosomal RNA is filed under the name uncultured bacterium. RNAcentral's name for it is "partial 16S ribosomal RNA". It matches the Rfam family "Bacterial small subunit ribosomal RNA", at positions 524 to 768 of the family's 1533-position model. The record is from RNAcentral.
UACAGAGACGGCGAGCGUUGUUCGGAUUCAUUGGGCGUAAAGGGUGCGCAGGCGGUCCGGCAAGUCGGAUGUGAAAUUUCCGAGCUUAACUCGGAACGGUCAUUCGAAACUGCCGGGCUCGAGGGCUGGAGAGGAGACUGGAAUUGUCGGUGUAGCGGUGAAAUGCGUAGAUAUCGACAAGAACACCGGUGGCGAAGGCGGGUCUCUGGACAGUUCCUGACGCUCAUGCACGAAAGCCAGGGGAG